This 274-nucleotide ribosomal RNA is filed under the name uncultured bacterium. Its description in RNAcentral is "partial 16S ribosomal RNA". It matches the Rfam family "Bacterial small subunit ribosomal RNA", at positions 523 to 796 of the family's 1533-position model. The record is from RNAcentral.
AUACGGAGGGUGCAAGCGUUAUCCGGAUUCAUUGGGUUUAAAGGGUCCGUAGGCGGGUAAUUAAGUCAGUGGUGAAAUCCUACAGCUCAACUGUAGAACUGCCAUUGAUACUGAUAACCUCGAGUGUGAUUGAAGUGGGCGGAAUGUGUCAUGUAGCGGUGAAAUGCAUAGAUAUGACACAGAACACCGAUUGCGAAGGCAGCUCACUAAGUCACAACUGACGCUGAGGGACGAAAGCGUGGGGAGCGAACAGGAUUAGAAACCCCAGUAGUCC